GCGGCGAACGGGUGAGUAACGCGUGGAUAACCUACCUCAAGGUCUGGGAUAACAGCUCGAAAGGGCUGCUAAUACCGGAUGUGGUGCAUAUGCUGCAUGGUAGAUGCACUAAAGGGGAAACCCGCCAUGAGAUGGGUCCGCGUCCCAUCAGCUAGUUGGUGGGGUAAAGGCCUACCAAGGCGACGACGGGUAGCCGGCCUGAGAGGGUGACCGGCCACACUGGGACUGAGACACGGCCCAGACUCCUACGGGGGGCAGCAGUGGGGAAUAUUGCACAAUGGGCGAAAGCCUGAUGCAGCGACGCCGCGUGGGCGAAGAAGGCCUUCGGGUUGUAAAGCCCUGUCUGGAGGGACGAAGUAAUGACGGUACCUCCGGAGGAAGCCACGGCUAACUACGUGCCAGCAGCCGCGGUAAUACGUAGGUGGCGAGCGUUGUCCGGAAUUACUGGGCGUAAAGGGCGUGCAGGCGGCCACUUAAGUCGGGCGUGAAAACCGCUG
This 497-nucleotide ribosomal RNA is filed under the name uncultured bacterium. RNAcentral's name for it is "bacterial SSU rRNA". It matches the Rfam family "Bacterial small subunit ribosomal RNA", at positions 95 to 606 of the family's 1533-position model. The record is from RNAcentral.